RNAcentral lists this transfer RNA (85 nucleotides) under Porticoccaceae bacterium. Its description in RNAcentral is "tRNA-Leu(tag)". It matches the Rfam family "tRNA". From Rfam's summary of the family: Transfer RNA (tRNA) molecules are approximately 80 nucleotides in length. Lineage: Bacteria; Pseudomonadati; Pseudomonadota; Gammaproteobacteria; Cellvibrionales; Porticoccaceae. The record is from RNAcentral.
GCGAGUGUGGCGGAAUUGGUAGACGCGCUAGAUUUAGGUUCUAGUGUCCUAGGAUGUGAGAGUUCGAGUCUCUCCACUCGCACCA